Molecule: ribosomal RNA, 497 nt
Filed under: uncultured bacterium
Lineage: Bacteria
Description: partial 16S ribosomal RNA
Rfam family: Bacterial small subunit ribosomal RNA
Source: RNAcentral
GAUGAACGCUGGCGGCGUGCCUAAUACAUGCAAGUCGAGCGAACAGACGAGGAGCUUGCUCCUUCGACGUUAGCGGCGGACGGGUGAGUAACACGUAGGUAACCUACCUAUAAGACUGGGAUAACCUCGGGAAACCGGAGCUAAUACCGGAUAAUAUUUCGAACCGCAUGGUUCGAUAGUGAAAGAUGGCUUUGCUAUCACUUAUAGAUGGACCUGCGCCGUAUUAGCUAGUUGGUAAGGUAACGGCUUACCAAGGCAACGAUACGUAGCCGACCUGAGAGGGUGAUCGGCCACACUGGAACUGAGACACGGUCCAGACUCCUACGGGAGGCAGCAGUAGGGAAUCUUCCGCAAUGGGCGAAAGCCUGACGGAGCAACGCCGCGUGAGUGAUGAAGGUCUUCGGAUCGUAAAACUCUGUUAUUAGGGAAGAACAAACGUGUAAGUAACUGUGCACGUCUUGACGGUACCUAAUCAGAAAGCCACGGCUAACUACGUG